This 301-nucleotide ribosomal RNA is filed under the name uncultured bacterium. Its description in RNAcentral is "partial 16S ribosomal RNA". It matches the Rfam family "Bacterial small subunit ribosomal RNA", at positions 509 to 807 of the family's 1533-position model. The record is from RNAcentral.
CAGUAGCCACGGGAAUACAAAGGGUGCGAGCGUUAAUCGGAUUUACUGGGCGUAAAGCGUGCGUAGGCGGCUAAUUGAGUCGGAUGUGAAAUCCCCGAGCUUAACUUGGGAAUUGCAUUCGAUACUGGUUAGCUAGAGUGUGGGAGAGGAUGGUAGAAUUCCAGGUGUAGCGGUGAAAUGCGUAGAGAUCUGGAGGAAUACCGAUGGCGAAGGCAGCCAUCUGGCCUAACACUGACGCUGAGGUACGAAAGCAUGGGGAGCAAACAGGAUUAGAUACCCCCGUAGUCCCUGUCUCUUAUAC